AACGAACGCUGGCGGCAUGCCUAACACAUGCAAGUCGAACGGGAUCCUGGCUUCGGCCAGGUGAGAGUGGCGGACGGGUGAGUAACGCGUGGGAACCUGCCCAUUGGUCUGGGAUAACUGCGGGAAACUGCAGCUAAUACCGGAUGUACCCGAGAGGGGAAAGAUUUAUCGCCGAUGGAGGGGCCCGCGUCAGAUUAGGUAGUUGGUGAGGUAACGGCUCACCAAGCCUACGAUCUGUAGCUGGUCUGAGAGGAUGAUCAGCCACACUGGGACUGAGAUACGGCCCAGACUCCUACGGGAGGCAGCAGUGGGGGAAUAUUGCGCAAGUGGGCGAAAGCCUGACGCAGCGACGCCGCGUGGGUGA
RNAcentral lists this ribosomal RNA (364 nucleotides) under uncultured bacterium. RNAcentral describes it as "bacterial SSU rRNA". It matches the Rfam family "Bacterial small subunit ribosomal RNA", at positions 29 to 408 of the family's 1533-position model. The record is from RNAcentral.